GUUGGGUUAAGUCCCGCAACGAGCGCAACCCUCGUUCUAUGUUGCCAGCACGUGAUGGUGGGGACUCAUAGGAGACUGCCGGGGUCAACUCGGAGGAAGGUGGGGAUGACGUCAAAUCAUCAUGCCCCUUAUGUCUUGGGCUUCACGCAUGCUACAAUGGCCGGUACAAAGGGUUGCGAUACUGUGAGGUGGAGCUAAUCCCAAAAAGCCGGUCUCAGUUCGGAUUGAGGUCUGCAACUCGACCUCAUGAAGUCGGAGUCGCUAGUAAUCGCAGAUCAGCAACGCUGCGGUGAAUACGUUCCCGGGCCUUGUACACACCGCCCGUCAAGUCACGAAAGUUGGUAACACCCGAAGCCGGUGGCCUAACCCCUUGUGGGAGGGAGCCGUCGAAGGUGGGACUGGCGAUUGGGACUAAGUCGUAACAAGGUAGCCGUACCGGAAGGUGCGGCUGGAUCACCUCCUUU
Molecule: ribosomal RNA, 464 nt
Filed under: Shigella sonnei
Lineage: Bacteria; Pseudomonadati; Pseudomonadota; Gammaproteobacteria; Enterobacterales; Enterobacteriaceae
Description: bacterial SSU rRNA
Rfam family: Bacterial small subunit ribosomal RNA
Source: RNAcentral